This is a long non-coding RNA of Ictidomys tridecemlineatus (thirteen-lined ground squirrel), 420 nucleotides long. RefSeq lists it as uncharacterized. The record is from RefSeq and is a predicted model, not a curated record. Lineage: Eukaryota; Metazoa; Chordata; Mammalia; Rodentia; Sciuridae.
UUGACAAAUUAUGAAUCAAUCCUGGAGAUACUUUUUCCUAACCUCAUUUAAAGCUACUUCCCAAAGUCCUUAUUUUCUACUUUCAGGUUGAUGUCUCCUCAAGCCAAUGAUGUAAGUGACCAAAUCGAUCAUGAGGCAAUCCCACCUUUACAUCCAGUCCAAGGCUUGAUCUUAUGGUUCCAACAAGGUCUUAUGGACAUUCUUGGACUGAUAAUUGCCAUGAUUUACCUCUGGGAUCGGGCCACUGCCACCUAAACAAAUUAUCAAGGGGAUCAGAAGAAAAUCCAGCUAUUUGAUGGUUGGAAAUGUACAGCAACUGGAACUACAUCCUUACUUGGGAGUGUGAUCUUCAGAACUACCUCCUGUGCGCCAUGAUGUUCACAAGAGAAACCACAUAGAACCUCAAGGAGUCAAGAGGAA